AAUAGAUACCCGGGUAGUCCACCCCGUAAACGUUGGGAACUAGUUGUGGGGUCCUUUCCACGGAUUCCGUGACGCAGCUAACGCAUUAAGUUCCCCGCCUGGGGAGUACGGCCGCAAGGCUAAAACUCAAAGGAAUUGACGGGGACCCGCACAAGCGGCGGAGCAUGCGGAUUAAUUCGAUGCAACGCGAAGAACCUUACCAAGGCUUGACAUACACCAGAACACCCUAGAAAUAGGGGACUCUUUGGACACUGGUGAACAGGUGGUGCAUGGUUGUCGUCAGCUCGUGUCGUGAGAUGUUGGGUUAAGUCCCGCAGCGAGCGCAACCCUCGUUCUAUGUUGCCAGCACGUAAUGGUGGGAACUCAUGGGAUACUGCCGGGGUCAACUCGGAGGAAGGUGGGGAUGACGUCAAAUCAUCAUGCCCCUUAUGUCUUGGGCUUCACGCAUGCUACAAUGGCCGGUACAAAGGGCUGCAAUACCGUGAGGUGGAGCGAAUCCCAAAAAGCCGGUCCCAGUUCGGAUUGAGGUCUGCAACUCGACCUCA
RNAcentral lists this ribosomal RNA (545 nucleotides) under uncultured bacterium. RNAcentral's name for it is "bacterial SSU rRNA". It matches the Rfam family "Bacterial small subunit ribosomal RNA", at positions 777 to 1320 of the family's 1533-position model. The record is from RNAcentral.